RNAcentral lists this long non-coding RNA (238 nucleotides) under Helianthus annuus (common sunflower). RNAcentral describes it as "sRNA HanXRQr2_Chr01g0016761". The stretch from base 1 to 84 matches the Rfam family "Small nucleolar RNA SNORD25". Lineage: Eukaryota; Viridiplantae; Streptophyta; Magnoliopsida; Asterales; Asteraceae. The record is from RNAcentral.
AUUGACUGUGAUGAGCCCAAUACAGACCUGUAAUGAUUUGCGAAAAUGAUCGCAUUUUAUGAACAUCUAAGGGACUGAGUCAUAUUCUAUAUUUUAUAAUUUGUGGCUUCCUAAAAAUUUGAAUGACGAUUUGGUAAAACUGUUCCAAGGUUGUAUGGAUUGAAGCCUAGAAAAAAUGUUCCCCUCGCUAUCCGGUGCUGCUUUUGAUGUUGUGUUUGGACGUUGGGAAACUACAUUU